CAUUCAGUAGCCCAGCUACUUGUUUACACCCUUGUCUUUUUGCGUACUUAUCGUUUCCUCGGCGGGCUUGCCCGCCGGUUGGACAACUUUAUAACCUUUUUAAAUCUUCAAUCAGCGUCUGAAUAAUAUACAAUAAUCA
Molecule: unclassified non-coding RNA, 139 nt
Filed under: soil metagenome
Description: partial internal transcribed spacer 1
Source: RNAcentral